UGCGCUCGUAGCUCAGUUGGAUAGAGCGAAGGAUUCCUAAUCCUUAGGUCGGAGGUUCAAAUCCUCUCGGGCGCAU
This 76-nucleotide transfer RNA is filed under the name Candidatus Vecturithrix granuli. Its description in RNAcentral is "tRNA-Arg(cct)". It matches the Rfam family "tRNA". From Rfam's summary of the family: Transfer RNA (tRNA) molecules are approximately 80 nucleotides in length. The record is from RNAcentral. Lineage: Bacteria; Candidatus Moduliflexota; Candidatus Vecturitrichia; Candidatus Vecturitrichales; Candidatus Vecturitrichaceae.